AGCUGGCUUGAGAGGAUGAUCAGCCACACUGGGACUGAGACACGGGCCAGACUCCUACGGGAGGCAGCAGUGGGGAAUCUUAGACAAUGGGGGCAANCCUGAUCUAGCCAUGCCGCGUGAUCGAUGAAGGCCUUAGGGUUGUAAAGAUCUUUCAGUGGGGAAGAUUAUGACGGUACCCACAGAAGAAGCCCCG
RNAcentral lists this ribosomal RNA (193 nucleotides) under uncultured bacterium. RNAcentral's name for it is "partial 16S ribosomal RNA". It matches the Rfam family "Bacterial small subunit ribosomal RNA", at positions 285 to 495 of the family's 1533-position model. The record is from RNAcentral.